UGCCAGACUCCUACGGGAGGCAGCAGUGGGGAAUAUUGCACAAUGGGGGAAACCCUGAUGCAGCGACGCCGCGUGAGCGAUGAAGUAUUUCGGUAUGUAAAGCUCUAUCAGCAGGGAAGAAGAUGACGGUACCUGACUAAGAAGCCCCGGCUAACUACGUGCCAGCAGCCGCGGUAAUACGUAGGGGGCAAGCGUUAUCCGGAUUUACUGGGUGUAAAGGGGGCGUAGACGGCGAUGCAAGCCAGAUGUGAAAGCCCGGGGCUCAACCCCGGGACUGCAUUUGGAACUGUGUGGCUGGAGUGUCGGAGAGGCAGGCGGAAUUCCUAGUGUAGCGGUGAAAUGCGUAGAUAUUAGGAGGAACACCAGUGGCGAAGGCGGCCUGCUGGACGAUGACUGACGUUGAGGCUCGAAAGCGUGGGGAGCAAACAGGAUUAGAUACCCGCGUA
This 446-nucleotide ribosomal RNA is filed under the name uncultured bacterium. RNAcentral describes it as "bacterial SSU rRNA". It matches the Rfam family "Bacterial small subunit ribosomal RNA", at positions 329 to 792 of the family's 1533-position model. The record is from RNAcentral.